GGCGGCACUAGCCAGAGCAGCGGCGAACAGGAGCAGGGAAAGCGCCUCCGAUAGGCCAGGCCUAGGGACCUGCGGGGAGAGGGCGAGGUCGGCACCCGGCACGGCCCUCUGAUUGGCUCCUGGAACUCGCCCCGCCUACGCCCAUAGGUGGGCCCGCACUCCUCCCUGCGCCUCGCCCCCUCCCCAACAGCAGCUGCUGUUAGUCCACUUGCAAGCCUCGAAUCCCGUCGGAAACUCGUCAUUGGCUGCUUCCUAGUGGCCUGUGUUGAUUCGCUGCCCGAGGAUCCUCCCUCCCGCGGUGGGACCAGCCCCGCAAAUGCGCAGCUAAGCGGGUGGCACUGGGCGGGUGGAGCUAGGGGCGCGGCGGCGGAGGGGGGCGUGGGCAGCCGGACGUACCCUGGCAGGGAGCAGCAGGUGGCGGCGGUGCAUGGGGCCUGGCCCCACCAGCGGGCACUGGCCCAGAGCCACGGCCGGGGGGCCAUCUAGCUGGAGAGAGAAGGGACAGGUGACCCGAUCGGAGCCCAGCCCAGCCCUCGGUGGUGCGGCGAGAGACAGCGAGGGGAGUCAAGGCCGGGGAGGUUAUCUAGGGAGAUCCCAGAGGGGAUCUGGUGAGACCUGAACCGAGGGAGAUCUGGGACUGAAGGAAGGGCUUCUGCCCUCUGAAGUCGCAAAGAGAUAGGGUGUCCAUACACGCCCCACGGAGCAGACGGCCCACCUCCUCCCGGUCCUCGGGAAGGGGACGCUUGAGGGACUUGCCUGUGGCUCCCUCUGCCUGCAGCAACUCCAUGCGCUCUUGCAGCUGCCGGACGUGCGCCUCCAGGUCCCGGUUCCGAGCUUCGGCCUCGCGUAGUUGACUGUGGGGAAGUAAGGACGGUGAGUCCGUCUGGGCUGAACGAGAGGGGGCUGCCAAGGGUUGCCACAGGCCCUGAGCCCCGACCCCGACCUGGCGAAGUUCUGGUUGGCCGUGCGGAUGGCCUCCAUCUCCCGGCUCAGGCUCUGCCGGGUGAGCACCUCCUCCUCAAGUGCCUCCUGGAGCUCCCGCAGCGUCACCUCGGCCUCAGCCUCCACCACAGGGAUAUCAGCUGGAACUGCCACUUCGGCCUGUGUAUGGGAACCAGGCUUAAGGCUGCCCAUGGCUCCUGAAGACUCAGGACUUGGGCCCUGGUUCCAGGCCUGAGAGUCUCGCUUGUCCCCUACUCCUCCACCCCCUCGGGAUUUCUGGAAUGGCCAUCGCUCCUGCAAUGAUCCAAGCCCCCUCCCUUCCUUACUCCCCUCAGCCCCAUCCCUGAGUCUGGUCCCCUCAAUCCACGCAGGGACUAGAGGGCUAGUCCUAAAACACUAACACAACUUGACCCUGACCCUCUGCUUCUCAAAAAUCCCUCCAGCUCCCUAAUGCCCUCAGGACAAAAGGUCUUGCCAGGUUGUUUUCUGCUGGCCUCGUCAGCCAUCUCAGGAACAAUUCAGCCAGACUAUCUGUGACUUUCAGGAACAAACCAGGAUUCCCACCUGCUCAAGGCCUUUGCCCUUAAGGUCUGGCCUGACCACCUGGUACUUUUCUUUCCUUCACCAGUGCUCAGUUCAAAGAUAAGCUCCUCGGAUCCCUGGCAACACACACCCUUAAACGCCCUACUGUAACGCCUUCACAGGGACCUCUGUGGCUUCUGUCUGCUUCUGUUCAGUAAGCUCCCAGAAGGCCCCACAGUGCACCCCAUGCAGGAAGCCCUCGCCUUUUCUCUCCUGUUUGUCCCUGACGGACCCUCACCUCUACCAACUUACUGUUUCAUCUGGCAGGGACACCGAGGGCUCCAGGCUGGGCGCUUGUACGUGUGGCUCAAGCAGCUGCUCGGCCUCCAGUUCCAUGGGUGUGGGGCCUGGGACCUCAUUGUCCCUGGGGAGAGGAGGAGGGAGUAGGGAGGGAGACAGAAUGCUGAUUCUUGAAUGGAGAACCAGGAACUCCUGGCCUGUGGGUAAGGGGCAGCUGCUUCAAAGACCACCUGAUCUGAGGAAGGGGAGCGGCAGAGUGAAGAGAACGGUCUCAGGUGGGCUGGCAGCCCUUCCCCCUGCUUAUGAAAAGCCCUGCCCCUUCCCUGGCCCUGGGCCGCUGGGAGCUGCUUUUUCUAAACCUUCUGCAGGGACUCAGGGUCCAGACCCCCAUGUUCUAGGGUCAGUUCAUCUCCUCCUUUGACAUGUGACCUCUGCAGACCUGAUGAGGGAGACUGCUUGGCUCUGGCCACCUCCACAGAUGUGGUCCUAAGACUGGGAAUGGGACCCCAAGAUGGCGACUCCAGAUCAGCACACCCCGCUCAGCUGUGGGAAGGGGACAGCCCCUCCCUGGGGGUAAGAAGUGGCUGUCCCCUACAACCCAGCACCCUCUCCUGGAGGAACAUGGCUCAGGACCUAGCUAUCCUCGACAUGCACCUGGGUCUAACAGAGGAUGGGUUCAAUCCUGAACCACCUGUUCAGGCCCCACAGCGGCUGAGAAUCAAAUUUGAGUUAAUUAAUGAGAAGAAAUGGCAUUUGUAAUGUUUUCCAGUAAUAAAAGCUGAUUAGAAAA
Long non-coding RNA from Saimiri boliviensis boliviensis (Bolivian squirrel monkey), 2554 nucleotides. RefSeq lists it as uncharacterized. Lineage: Eukaryota; Metazoa; Chordata; Mammalia; Primates; Cebidae. The record is from RefSeq and is a predicted model, not a curated record.